Molecule: long non-coding RNA, 232 nt
Organism: Clupea harengus (Atlantic herring)
Lineage: Eukaryota; Metazoa; Chordata; Actinopteri; Clupeiformes; Clupeidae
Exons: 3
Source: RefSeq, a predicted model, not a curated record
UUGUGUUGUGUGUGUGUGAGUGUGUGUGGUCAACUCCGCUUCAGGUCUAAGCAAGAGCUGCAAUGCUGACACUCUACAUCCUCUGCCUGGUCGCAUGUCUUGCUGAGGCCUUGCCUGGCUCCUGUAGUUUUGGCAAAAACCUCUGUGGGUUCCAUGAAGACUCCACCCACUCCAGCUGGAUACUUAACCAGAAGGGUGGGUAUGUGGCUCUGGAGGCCGAGGGUUCUGCGGG